CUCCCCAUAAAGUUGUUUCAUCAUUUAAAUAUUGCUUUUUUUAACUUAAAAAAAUCUUGUUUGUACCUUAUUAUUUUCUUAGUAAAGCCUCAGACUUGGUUGAAGAUUUAUUUAACCAUCUUCCUGGGAGCUGCUAACUUGGCUGCUUGUAUCUGCUUUUCAACAUAGGUUUUGGUUCUGAUCAGCUGACUGAAUCUGUUUUAUCCACUAAAUGAAAUGUCCUUUGUGUUCAAGUUGAUAAAAUAUACAAUUGUCACAAAAAUGUUCCAACGCAUCUCUCAUUUUCUUUUUCCGUUCAAGGCUACUGGAGUAUUUUUCAUAUACUAGUAUAAUACAAAUAAUUUAUUGAAUUCAUUCAUAAAAGGCUAUAAAAUACCAGAUGUGCGUUAAGCAAGUAACUUGCAUUUUGAAAAUUUACCAAAUGUUUAU
RNAcentral lists this long non-coding RNA (429 nucleotides) under Mytilus galloprovincialis (Mediterranean mussel). Lineage: Eukaryota; Metazoa; Mollusca; Bivalvia; Mytilida; Mytilidae. The record is from RNAcentral.